UACGGAGGGUGCAAGCGUUAAUCGGAAUUACUGGGCGUAAAGCGCGCGUAGGUGGUUGAAUAAGUCGAUUGUGAAAUCCCCGGGCUUAACCUGGGAAUUGCAGUGGAUACUGGCGAGCUAGAGUACGGUAGAGGAAGGUGGAAUUCCCGGUGUAGCGGUGAAAUGCGUAGAGAUCGGGAGGAACACCAGUGGCGAAGGCGGCUCACUGGACGACUGUUGACGCUGAGGUGCGAAAGCGUGGGGAGCAAACAGG
Molecule: ribosomal RNA, 253 nt
Filed under: uncultured bacterium
Lineage: Bacteria
Description: partial 16S ribosomal RNA
Rfam family: Bacterial small subunit ribosomal RNA
Source: RNAcentral